GUGGUUGCUUCGGCAGCACUUAUACUAAAAUUGGAACAAUACAGAGAAGAUUAGCAUGACCGCUGUGCAAGGAUGACACACAAAUUCGUGAAGCGUUCCAUGUUUUU
This 107-nucleotide small nuclear RNA is filed under the name Physeter macrocephalus (sperm whale). The record is from RNAcentral. Lineage: Eukaryota; Metazoa; Chordata; Mammalia; Artiodactyla; Physeteridae.